UUUCACUUUAAAACCACAUAACUCAUUACUCCAAACCACUAGCUCCAUCUCUCUAUCCACGUCACAUAAAUUUCUGUUCUUCUCCAUCGAUCAUCGAACGAUCCCGGAGAGGGACGUAGUGCCCCUCCACGCCACGUAAUAGCCCUCCCGUUCCCUCUUCAAAAUGUCUACUCGGAGAUUGAAUGCAAACCGCAAUAAAAAGU
Non-coding RNA from Caenorhabditis elegans, 203 nucleotides. The record is from Ensembl. Lineage: Eukaryota; Metazoa; Nematoda; Chromadorea; Rhabditida; Rhabditidae.